This is a long non-coding RNA of Mustela lutreola (European mink), 1626 nucleotides long. RefSeq lists it as uncharacterized. The record is from RefSeq and is a predicted model, not a curated record. The transcript is spliced from 7 exons. Lineage: Eukaryota; Metazoa; Chordata; Mammalia; Carnivora; Mustelidae.
GCUGGCGCUCGACCCGCGCCUGCCGGAAGUGCGGGGUUACGUCAUCCGGCGAAGAGAUGCCCCGCCCCUGACCCCGCCCCCAACACGGAAGCAGAGGCGGCGCGCGCAGAGCAGGUUUAUUGAACAACAGACAGCACGCGGCGGUUAACAGCUGGCGGGCUCCAUGCUGGACUUGAGAUCAAGACCUGAGGUGAAAUCAAAAGACUCCAAAGCCUAACCAACUUAGCCACCCAUGUGCACCUAUUUCAGACUUCUGGACUCCAGAACCCCUGGUGAUGCUGCUCCAAGGCCUGGUCCAUGGCAACCUGGAUGGAAUCUUGCACUGCGCUGUGGCUCUCCAUGAGGAUGGCACUGAGAUGAGUGCACACCCAAACUGGCAGCCCCUAUACCUACUCCACAGUUCUGUUUGCUGGACUGGAAAUCCGCUGUGAAAAUCCACAAAGAGAAAAAGCAGCAGCGUUUGUCCCUGGGAGUCCAUAUUCUGAGACUGAUCUCCCACACUGGAUUCCACCUGAUAACUCACAUCUGGAAGCAGCAAAUCUAGAGGACAAGAUAUUACACGAGUUGACAGAUUAAGGUACGACAGCAACCCUCUGAACAAGUCAUUACAAGAUGGAGGCCUACUGACUAUCUCUAGAGAACCAGGAAGAGAGAAGGCAGUAGAAGAAAUGCGAGGAAAACCAGCAUUAACAGGGUACACAUGAAGAAUUAAGUGUGAAGAUUAAAAUCCUCUCCCGUAGGCACAAUGAAAAGUCCCAGCAGAACAAGGCAAGACAGUAUCCCUAAAUGAAGUCGCUGUCACAAAUCCAAGAUAUUUACACAGGAGCUAAGGCCAACACAUUCACUUUUUAGAGCCAGGGGAGCUUUGAGGUACUGCGAACUUAGUAAGAGUGGAGUGUCUGAAGAGUCAAAAUGUGUGACUAUCUUUUCAUUGGGUUGUUGAAACCAUUUACUUUUAAUAUAAGUACUGUUAUGGUUGGAUUUAAAUCUACCAUCUUAUUAUGUGUUUUGCAUUUGUUUCUUGUAUUUCCCUCUUUUCUAUUUUUGGAUUCUAUUUUGGACUCAGUGUUUUUUUGGUAAUUCCAUUUUUAACCUCCUUUUUGACUUACUCGUUUUAAUUCUUUGCUGUAAUAACUUAGGGAUUGCUUUAGGCUUUAUAGUAUACAACUUUAUCACUACCUACUUUUAAGUGAUAUUAUAAGAGUUAACACACAUAAAGUAUAAGAAUCCUGCAAAAAUACUUCCAUUCCCCCCCCUUGGUCUUCGUACUAUUGUCACUCAUUUUACUGUGACAUAGCAUAUAAAUCUUAUAUACCAAUGGCUUUUUUUUUUUUUUUUUUUUUUUUGCUUUAAAAAGACAACUAUCAGGGUACCUGUGUGGCUCAGUGAGUUAAGCCUCUGCCUUGGGCCCAGGUCACUAUCUCAGGGUCUUGGGAUCGAGCCCCAUAUCACACUCUCUGCUGGCCGGGGAGUCUGCCUCCCCCUCUCUCUUGCCUGCCUCUCUGCCUAAUUGUGAUCUCUCUGUCAAACAAAUAAAAUCUUUAAAAAAUAAAAAUAAAAAUAUUUUUAAAGUCACUGUCUUAUUUUUAAAAAUACGGCAAAAAUCUUUUAUAUCUAUUCACAUAG